Molecule: ribosomal RNA, 253 nt
Filed under: uncultured bacterium
Lineage: Bacteria
Description: partial 16S ribosomal RNA
Rfam family: Bacterial small subunit ribosomal RNA
Source: RNAcentral
UACGUAGGGGGCUAGCGUUGUCCGGAAUCAUUGGGCGUAAAGCGCGCGUAGGCGGUCAGGUAAGUCCGGUGUGAAAGUCAAAGGCUCAACCUUUGAAUGCCGCUGGAUACUGCCUGACUUGAGUCCGGAAGGGGCGAGUGGAAUUCCUGGUGUAGCGGUGAAAUGCGCAGAUAUCGCUUGGAACGCCGAAGGUGAAAACAGGUCGCUGGGGAUGUGCCGACGCUGAGACACGAAAGCCAGGGGAGCAAACGGG